Molecule: ribosomal RNA, 1495 nt
Filed under: uncultured bacterium
Lineage: Bacteria
Description: partial 16S ribosomal RNA
Rfam family: Bacterial small subunit ribosomal RNA
Source: RNAcentral
AGAGUUUGAUCCUGGCUCAGAUUGAACGCUGGCGGCAUGCCUUACACAUGCAAGUCGAACGGCAGCGCGGGGCAACCUGGCGGCGAGUGGCGAACGGGUGAGUAAUAUAUCGGAACGUACCCUGGAGUGGGGGAUAACGUAGCGAAAGUUACGCUAAUACCGCAUACGAUCUAAGGAUGAAAGUGGGGGAUCGCAAGACCUCAUGCUCCUGGAGCGGCCGAUAUCUGAUUAGCUAGUUGGUAGGGUAAAGGCCUACCAAGGCAUCGAUCAGUAGCUGGUCUGAGAGGACGACCAGCCACACUGGAACUGAGACACGGUCCAGACUCCUACGGGAGGCAGCAGUGGGGAAUUUUGGACAAUGGGCGCAAGCCUGAUCCAGCAAUGCCGCGUGAGUGAAGAAGGCCUUCGGGUUGUAAAGCUCUUUUGUCAGGGAAGAAACGGUGGGGGCUAAUAUCCCUCACUAAUGACGGUACCUGAAGAAUAAGCACCGGCUAACUACGUGCCAGCAGCCGCGGUAAUACGUAGGGUGCAAGCGUUAAUCGGAAUUACUGGGCGUAAAGCGUGCGCAGGCGGUUUUGUAAGUCUGAUGUGAAAUCCCCGGGCUCAACCUGGGAAUUGCAUUGGAGACUGCAAGGCUAGAAUCUGGCAGAGGGGGGUAGAAUUCCACGUGUAGCAGUGAAAUGCGUAGAUAUGUGGAGGAACACCGAUGGCGAAGGCAGCCCCCUGGGUCAAGAUUGACGCUCAUGCACGAAAGCGUGGGGAGCAAACAGGAUUAGAUACCCUGGUAGUCCACGCCCUAAACGAUGUCUACUAGUUGUCGGGUUUUAAUUAACUUGGUAACGCAGCUAACGCGUGAAGUAGACCGCCUGGGGAGUACGGUCGCAAGAUUAAAACUCAAAGGAAUUGACGGGGACCCGCACAAGCGGUGGAUGAUGUGGAUUAAUUCGAUGCAACGCGAAAAACCUUACCUACCCUUGACAUGUACGGAAGUCACGAGAGAUCGAGAUGUGCUCGAAAGAGAACCGUAACACAGGUGCUGCAUGGCUGUCGUCAGCUCGUGUCGUGAGAUGUUGGGUUAAGUCCCGCAACGAGCGCAACCCUCGCCUUUAGUUGCCAUCAUUUAGUUGGGCACUUUAAAGGAACCGCCGGUGAUAAGCCGGAGGAAAGUGGGGAUGACGUCAAGUCCUCAUGGCCCUUACGCGCUGGGCUACACACGUGCUACAAUGGCGGUGACAGUGGGCAGCAAGCACGCGAGGGGGAGCUAAUCGCAGAAAGUGUAUCGUAGUCCGGAUUGUAGUCUGCAACUCGACUGCAUGAAGUUGGAAUCGCUAGUAAUCGCGGAUCAGCAUGUCGCGGUGAAUACGUUCCCGGGUCUUGUACACACCGCCCGUCACACCAUGGGAGCGGGUUCUGCCAGAAGUAGUUAGCCUAACCGCAAGGAGGGCGAUUACCACGGCAGGGUUCGUGACUGGGGUGAAGUCGUAACAAGGUAACC